RNAcentral lists this ribosomal RNA (253 nucleotides) under uncultured bacterium. RNAcentral describes it as "partial 16S ribosomal RNA". It matches the Rfam family "Bacterial small subunit ribosomal RNA", at positions 524 to 776 of the family's 1533-position model. The record is from RNAcentral.
UACAGAGGUCCCAAGCGUUGUUCGGAUUCAUUGGGCGUAAAGGGUGUGUAGGUGGCGCCGUAAGUCGGGUGUGAAAUCUCGGGGCUUAACUCCGAAACUGCAUUCGAUACUGCGGUGCUUGAGGACUGGAGAGGAGACUGGAAUUCAUGGUGUAGCAGUGAAAUGCGUAGAUAUCGGGAGGAACACCAGUGGCGAAGGCGACUUCCUGGCCUGUUCUUGACGCUGAGGCGCGAAAGCUAGGGGAGCAAACGGG